This 459-nucleotide ribosomal RNA is filed under the name uncultured bacterium. Its description in RNAcentral is "partial 16S ribosomal RNA". It matches the Rfam family "Bacterial small subunit ribosomal RNA", at positions 338 to 795 of the family's 1533-position model. The record is from RNAcentral.
CCUACGGGAGGCAGCAGUGAGGAAUAUUGGUCAAUGGCCGGGAGGCUGAACCAGCCAAGUCGCGUGAGGGAAGACGGCCCUACGGGUUGUAAACCUCUUUUGUCAGGGAGCAAGGUGCAGGUCGGGACCUGCUGUGAGCGGACCUGACGAAAAAGCAUCGGCUAACUCCGUGCCAGCAGCCGCGGUAAUACGGAGGAGGCGAGCGUUAUCCGGAUUUAUUGGGUUUAAAGGGUGCGCAGGCGGAGGCACAAGUCAGCGGUAAAAUCGCGGGGCUCAACCCCGCUCCGCCGUUGAAACUGUGGCCCUUGAGUGCGCGAAGGGUAGGCGGAAUGCGUGGUGUAGCGGUGAAAUGCAUAGAUAUCACGCAGAACUCCGAUCGCGAAGGCAGCCUACCGGCGCGCAACUGACGCUCAUGCACGAAAGCGUGGGUAUCGAACAGGAUUAGAUACCCGGGUAGUC